UUGAUUAGACAGGAAAAGAGCAGCCAGCAGCGAGGAGGGAGGAGGAGAGGCCUCUCGGAGCUGUCGCGGGCCGGGCUGGGGCUGCGGGAGGCCGUCAGGCUGCGCGAGCGAUUGCUAAAAAAAAACACGAGCAGGGUUUUUAGUGUUUUGUUGAAACACGCACGGCAAAAUGUUUCCUCACCAAACGAAUGGGAAUUUUCUCCACUCGGGGAACCGCGCGAGCAGCUCCGCGGCUGCUGUCCCUCGGGGAGCCGGGAUCCCACUGCCGGGAGCUGCGGGCGGCAGUCGCAGUGCUGCGGCCGAGCUCGGAGCGAGCACCCCGUGAGCAGGGGCCGCUGCGCUGCCGGGGGGGCCGGGCAAGAACUGGCAAAGGGGAAAGCAAAGAUACAAAGUGCAGAGAGACGGGGUAACAUUUACAUGAGAAACAAUCCGCUCUCCAGCCCCCACCCACGGCGCUUCCCCUCGUUUCAGGAGCUGCCGGAGCGCAGGAAGGGAACGGUUCCUGGCAGAGGGACAGCGCUGCGAGGAGGCAGACGCGUUUCCAGGGCCGGAGAGAACGUAUGUGAGAAGGGGACGUGGGGGGAAUGGGGCCGAGGGCCGCCGCAGGGCUGCGCACUGCGCCCGGGCCUCACUGGGGCACGCGGCCUGCGUGGGGACGGGGCUGUGGGGCACGCGAUGCACACACACGAACACACGGAUAGAGGUGUGAGCACGCAGACGCUAAUAUUGCUGCCUACCGACGCCGAGGAUGUAAGAUGCAGUUUACGGGCCUAGCGCAACCCGCUCCUAUAAAUAAUACAUUCCGAUCACCGUGGCCUCAAAAUGUCAAUACCGCGCAGCCCCGCACAUUUGCAUAUCUUGAACUGCCUCAACUUGAAGCACGUCAGCUAUAUGCUUCUGUUUGUACUUUAACUUCAUCCCAGCUCCGGCCGAGCCCCGCGCCGCCCCCCGCGCGGCUCCGUCACGCAGCGAGCAGCGCCGUGCCCAGGGCCGCGGGGUUCGC
This 1003-nucleotide long non-coding RNA is filed under the name Numida meleagris (helmeted guineafowl). RNAcentral describes it as "lncRNA (ENSNMEG00000016793.1)". The record is from RNAcentral. Lineage: Eukaryota; Metazoa; Chordata; Aves; Galliformes; Numididae.